AACCGUUAUAACCGGCGAUACCCGAAUGGGGAAACCCAGUGUGACUCGUCACACUAUCAUUAACUGAAUCCAUAGGUUAAUGAGGCGAACCGGGGGAACUGAAACAUCUAAGUACCCCGAGGAAAAGAAAUCAACCGAGAUUCCCCCAGUAGCGGCGAGCGAACGGGGAGGAGCCCAGAGCCUGAAUCAGCAUGUGUGUUAGUGGAAGCGUCUGGAAAGGCGCGCGAUACAGGGUGACAGCCCCGUACACAAAAGCGCAUGUGCUGUGAGCUCGAUGAGUAGGGCGGGACACGUGGUAUCCUGUCUGAAUAUGGGGGGACCAUCCUCCAAGGCUAAAUACUCCUGACUGACCGAUAGUGAACCAGUACCGUGAGGGAAAGGCGAAAAGAACCCCGGCGAGGGGAGUGAAAAAGAACCUGAAACCGUGUACGUACAAGCAGUGGGAGCCCCACCACCAAAGCAUUUGCUGUACCGCGUUGACGGAG
Molecule: ribosomal RNA, 485 nt
Filed under: Salmonella enterica subsp. enterica serovar Enteritidis
Lineage: Bacteria; Pseudomonadati; Pseudomonadota; Gammaproteobacteria; Enterobacterales; Enterobacteriaceae
Description: partial 23S ribosomal RNA
Rfam family: Bacterial large subunit ribosomal RNA
Source: RNAcentral